UACGUAGGGUACGAGCGUUAAUCGGAUUUACUGGGCGUAAAGCGUGCGCAGGCGGCCCGUUAAGACAGGUGUGAAAUCCCUGGGCUCAACCUAGGAAUUGCGCUUGUGACUGGCGGGCUCGAGUACGGUAGAGGGGGGUGGAAUUCCUGGUGUAGCAGUGAAAUGCGUAGAGAUCAGGAGGAACACCGAUGGCGAAGGCAGCCCCCUGGGCCUGUACUGACGCUCAUGCACGAAAGCGUGGGGAGCAAACAGG
Molecule: ribosomal RNA, 253 nt
Filed under: uncultured microorganism
Description: partial 16S ribosomal RNA
Rfam family: Bacterial small subunit ribosomal RNA
Source: RNAcentral